AUCUCACUUUCUCCCAUCUCCAUUCUCUUCUCACAUUUCCAUUCUCGUCUCUUUUUCCUGUCUAGUUGUCGAGGGAUCGAGGUCUCUUUCUUUUCCGUUUCGAGUUAUUUGGGUGUAUGAUUUCUCGCUAGGUGUUGGGCUGGUUGUUGGGUACUGAAUUUUCAGUAGAAAGCCUUUGCUGGGCACUUAAGUUUGUUACUACCCAUAUACUUAAUUUUGUUACUGCAUUCCAGGUGUUUGAUUCAUUGCUCGGUGAUGGGUGUUUGAGUUAUUUUGCUAGGUGUUGGGGGCUGGUUAUUGGGUACAUAAUUUUGGUUGUGGGCACUUAAUUUUGAGUACAAAGUCCUUGCUGGGUUCUCUUAAGGCAAAUAUAGUUGUGUGGGAUUUUGUGCUCUGCUGCAUCCUGACAUCAGAGUUAUCAGAGUUGUAGCCAGACUUCCGUGUGAGGAGGAGUUGCAGAGGCAAGUAUCAGAUGGGUCAUGGACUCCAAAAGGCCACGAUGACGUAUUGACCCGUGCACUUGGCAGUAAAGAGCAUGGAGGACGUGUCAGAGGGGUCGGUGGUGGAGCCAAACUUAAGGAUGUAUUUGGAUCGGGAAAAAGCAAACAUAGUGGCGUUGUUUCGGUGGAUGAGUUGGCCACGAUUACACAAGAAAUCACUAAGAAAGUUCAGAAGGAGUGCGAGGAGAGGAUGAAUGAAAUGGUGAGGAAGAAUGAAAUGGUGAAUUUAAAGCUAGAAAGUAUAUUUAAUCAGUUGAACCAGAUGGGUGUGAAAAUCCCUGAUGAUCAUUUUUUAAAUGAUGUUGGUACACCGAACAAUGAAAAUGUUCGAAGCAGUUGCCAGUCGGUAUAUCGGGAAGAUCAUUUCACAAAUGUCAAGAAUCCAACACUUUGUUGUCUUUGGGUGAUACACGUAGAGAAAGGAAGAGUUGUUGUGGCAAGGGGGACUGUAUUCCCGUCAAAUAGUCAGGGUGUUAAUAUGAUUCAUAAUAUUCCGAUGGCAUCACACAAUGUUAGAGUAUCAAUUGAUGAUGUUGUACCUGAAUAUCAACUUACUCCACUUCCUGUGUCAUGUGAUGAACAUGAUAAUAUAGGAAAUGCAGCGGGCAGUUUUGUUCAAUGGCCAAAGGACCUUGUGACAUUAGGGCAGGAUCCUAUAUCAUUGGAGAAGAAAAAAAGCCAUAAGAUGACACCAAAAGCAAAAGUACAUGACUCAGAAAAGGUUGAAAGUAAAGGGUCUGUGACUCCCGUGAAGAAAAACCGGCCAGUAAUUGUUGAUGACAUAAGUUUAAGUGAGCAUUGUGCAGGUUUAAGUUUCUUGCUCAAAAAAAGGCCCCUAAUAAAAAAGGUGAUGUCUUUACGUAUGAAGAAAAUGGAGAAGAUCUGAUACACAUUACACCCGAAGAUGUUGAUCAGUUUUUGAAAAUGAGAUGGUUAAAUACUCCAAUAAUUGAAAUUUUCCUGAAGUACGUUAGCACGUUGUGUAAACAGUUGAAGGAUGAUACAUUUGCAUUCAUGUUGCCAUCCAGAUUAGCCAUGCCACAUAAAUGUCACCAGCAACGACAAGAUGAAGCAAUAGACUAUUUGUCAGAUUUUUUGGUUGCCAAUAGAAAUAAGCGUUAUAUUUUGGCACCGUACAUCCAAGAGGACCACUGGAUGUUGCUCCUUUUUUGUCUCCAUGAAAGUGCUAUCUACGUGUUUGAUCCAUUGAAAAAAGAUAGGACAAUACGGUUAAAAACACCUGCAAGAAUGGCAUUUAAAUUAUACGUAUCUCAAGGUGGACAGAGGAAUAACAAAAAAGAAUUUCUUUGGCAUCACACCGAGGUUAAGUGUCCGCAACAAGGAGAUAUGGAUUCUGGUUUUUUUGUUAUGAGAUACAUGUAUGAUAUAGUCAUGCUUUCUCAGAAACAACCCGACAUGAACUGGAAAGUGGGUCUUGGUUCAAGAAACUAUACAAGAAAGGAAAUCAAUGAGGUUCGAGAAUUGUGGGCAAAAUUUUUCUCUUUAGAAUGUCUAUAAUAAGGUAAUCUUGUCAUCGGCCUUGUCGUUUGAAGUCCUUACAGUUCAAGCAUUUAAGUUCUUGCCUGCUGCAGUACUGUGAUAUACAAUCACUGGUCCUUGAAGAUCUUGAACUUCUUGCUAGAGACAGUGUGUUUGGAUUCAUUUGUAACAAUCUGAUAUCAUGAAGGUUUUUUUGUGGCAUUUAAUGUGUAAUGUUUCUUUCAAGUGUAAACUAGGACAUAAUUAAUUCUUGAUAUAAUUGUUUAAGUUGUUUUGGGAUUUAA
Daucus carota subsp. sativus is the source of this 2284-nucleotide RNA transcript. RefSeq lists it as uncharacterized. The transcript is spliced from 11 exons. NCBI's taxonomy places the organism in Eukaryota, Viridiplantae, Streptophyta, Magnoliopsida, Apiales, Apiaceae. The record is from RefSeq and is a predicted model, not a curated record.